GAUGAACGCUAGCUACAGGCUUAACACAUGCAAGUCGAGGGACCGGCGCACGUGUGAGUAACACGUAUCCAACCUUCCCUUUACUCGGGGAUAGCCUUUCGAAAGAAAGAUUAAUACCCGAUAUAAAGGAUGGGGAUGCGUUCCAUUAGGUUGUUGGUAAGGUACCGGCCCACCAAGCCUUCGAUGGAUAGGGGUUCUGAGAGGAAGGACCCCCACAAUGGAACAGAGACACGGUCCAAACUACUACGGGAGGAAGAAGUGAGGAAUAUUGGUCAAUGGGCGUUAGCCUGAACCAGCAAAGUAGAGUGAAGGAUGAAGGCUUAUGGGUCGUAAACUUCUUUUAUAUAAGAAUAUGUAUUAUAUGAAUAAGGAUCGGCUAACUCCGUGCCAGCAGCCGCGGUAAUAC
RNAcentral lists this ribosomal RNA (406 nucleotides) under uncultured bacterium. RNAcentral describes it as "partial 16S ribosomal RNA". It matches the Rfam family "Bacterial small subunit ribosomal RNA", at positions 28 to 526 of the family's 1533-position model. The record is from RNAcentral.